RNAcentral lists this ribosomal RNA (1034 nucleotides) under uncultured organism. RNAcentral's name for it is "bacterial SSU rRNA". It matches the Rfam family "Bacterial small subunit ribosomal RNA", at positions 439 to 1465 of the family's 1533-position model. The record is from RNAcentral.
UUUGGGACAAGUGUACGUGUUACUGCACGUGCAUUGAUAGUACCAGAGAGGAAGGGACGGCUAACUCUGUGCCAGCAGCCGCGGUAAUACAGAGGUCCAAGCGUUGUUCGGAUUCAUUGGGCGUAAAGGGUGCGUAGGUGGCGCCGUAAGUCGGGUGUGAAAUUUCGGAGCUUAACUCCGAAACUGCAUUCGAUACUGCGGUGCUUGAGGACUGGAGAGGAGACUGGAAUUCAUGGUGUAGCAGUGAAAUGCGUAGAGAUCAUGAGGAAGACCAGUGGCGAAGGCGGGUCUCUGGACAGUUCCUGACACUGAGGCACGAAGGCCAGGGGAGCAAACGGGAUUAGAUACCCCGGUAGUCCUGGCAGUAAACGGUGCACGUUUGGUGUGGGAGGAUUCGACCCCUUCCGCGCCGGAGCUAACGCGUUAAACGUGCCGCCUGGGGAGUACGGUCGCAAGAUUAAAACUCAAAGAAAUUGACGGGGGCCCGCACAAGCGGUGGAGUAUGUGGCUUAAUUCGAUGCAACGCGAAGAACCUUACCAGGCCUUGACAUGCAUUUCUAAGCGGGUGAAAGCCCGUGAGUGUCGAAAGACACAACUUGCACAGGUGCUGCAUGGCUGUCGUCAGCUCGUGUCGUGAGAUGUUGGGUUAAGUCCCGCAACGAGCGCAACCCCUGUGAACUGUUGCCACCGGCGCAAGCCGAGCACUCUGUUCAGACUGCCCUGUGAAACGGGGAGGAAGGUGGGGACGACGUCAAGUCAGUAUGGCCCUUACGGCCUGGGCUGCACACGUACUACAAUGCCCAGUACAGAACGAUCCGAGACCGCGAGGUGGAGGAAAUCUAUCAAAACUGGGCCCAGUUCGGAUUGGAGUCUGCAACUCGACUCCAUGAAGCCGGAAUCGCUAGUAAUGCCGUAUCAGCUACGACGGCGUGAAUACGUUCCCGGGCCUUGUACACACCGCCCGUCACAUCAUGGAAGUCACUUGUAGCCGAAGCCGGCGCGCCAACCAGCAAGGAAGCAGCCGUCUACGCUAG